RNAcentral lists this long non-coding RNA (3561 nucleotides) under Sus scrofa (pig). RNAcentral's name for it is "lncRNA (ENSSSCG00040005551.1)". The record is from RNAcentral. Lineage: Eukaryota; Metazoa; Chordata; Mammalia; Artiodactyla; Suidae.
AUAUCCUGCAUUUAUUUAAGCAAACCGAAUGUGUAGAGAUAGGAAAUUAAAGCAUUAUAAUGUUUUACAAAUACAGAAAGAAAGACACAGAAUAAUAAUACCCUGGAGAGAGUGCAUCUGAGAACACGCUUCCAUCACAGGGAACAACUUUCAGUGACCACAUGGAAGCCACGGCCGACGCAUUCAUCUGUCGUUCUUGUUCUGACAUCAUUCAAGUCUUUUUCAUAGAUAAAUCAGUGAUCUGCUUUUAUACGACGGAUAGUGCUAGUGGUUAUGGUAGCCUUGAAGGGUUUGUGAGUAACUGUACUAUACAUACAUGAGGCUAGGCUUAACGUGUUAUUUCAAUGCUGCUGUCCAUCGCGGGAGGGAAAGAAUGUCUCAUUACACAAUUACUGUGACAUCCACUAAAAUGUGAACUAGUUGCAUAGGUUAGUCCUUUGGGCAGCACAAUGUUGCUCUAGUCCACCAAGGCUUAAAGAUUCACAGUGUAGAGGAAAAAAACAUGAAUUAAAGCAUUUCUACUAAAAUAUAUUUUAAUAGCUGGUGUUAACAAUUUGCAUAACAAAAGCCAAAUUAUAUUUAUAACAUUGCAUCGUUCUGUAAGCCCCUUCAUUUUAAAACCAUGAUGUGUUUCUUAACGCUCUCAUAGUUAGAACAAUCCUGCAAAUGAAUCAUCAAUCACAAGUCUACAUAUUUUGAAGCAAAGAGAGGCCAGUCUUCACAAUGAUCCAAUUUUGCAUUUUUACCGCAGGUCUAAGACCAACAGUUCCACACCCCUGGCCUGUGAUACACGCAGUGCUGCUUCUAAGUGCUCAGCCGUUCGUCAUAUGGACACAGAAGAAUGGGACCAUGAUGCAGUUCUCUCUUUUCCUUUCAAGAAAAUCAUCCUUAACAGCAGCUGCAUCACAGAGAAGUAUAUACUAUGCAAACUGGAUACCACAUAUCAAACACAAAAGCACAUGGAAUUCCUGUGACUAUACUGAAGUAACCCGGACGACUAGGGAGGAGACGGUGCCCUAGGGAUCCUUCCAGGCUUGUGGAUUCCACAGAAGCAUCACACAAUUGCCUUUGUGGUUUUCAUCACCACUAAUUGACAGUUGCCUGGAAAGAACCCUAAUGGGCACGGAAUACUUCGGAAAGAGACGUUCCUGUUAGCAUUCUUCACUUGGUUUACAGAGCUUCUUAUUAACUAAAGCUUUCUCACCUCCAUGCCACCCAAACAACCCACGCUAGCCAUUUUCAGAUGAUCAGAAGCAAAUAGCUAUGGUAUAAUGGAUUUUUGAAGUGAACUUCAUCUUGGGUCACGAAUUCAGCCUUAUAACAUAAUUCUUCUAUCUUAUAAUAGGUGUUUUAAAUCUCAGACCUAAGGUUAACGUUUAUGCAGCUCAACAAUAUAUAAAUCCACAGAGAGCCUUUCAGAAAUAAAUGGAAGAAGUCAGUAUUUUCUAAAGUUCCAAAGCUUUAGAGGUAAAAUAUAAUCAGCUAUCACCUUUCAUAUCUGUCAGGAAUAUCUCAUCUGUCCCCACCAUAAAAAUACUGAUCACAUAAUAAAAUAGUACUACAGAGUAGGCAGAUGCUUGCGUGCUUGGUUUUCUUCCCAAGACCAUAUUGGAGAGACAAGGGUGAUCAAAAAGGCACCUAUAUUUUUUAUAUCUCUAUAUUAUAAUUUUGGUAUAAACUAUAUCCACUUUAUAUAGGGGAAGUUACUAAAGGAUCUCACAUUUUCUUUAUCUUUUCAUUAAAAACCUUCCACUGGAGAUGGGCAAAUCUGAAAAAGAGAUGCGGCCUCUUGCACUUCCACUGUCUGCCUUAGAAAAGUCUGCUUUUCCCAGAUCCCAGAGUGUUGUCUAGCUCCACACGGAGAGGCCAGCGAAAGCAAGACUGGCAAAACUGGCAGUCCUCGGACCAUGAACCUAGUGGCAAGAGAGGGGCUGCUCUAGUCGCAUCCGUGUUCCAACAAGGGGCUCCUGGGAAUUGUGCUUGCAAAUUCCUGUGUGGUCUCGGGUUGGGGUCGGGGUGGGGGAGGCCUGAGAAGAUCCAGGGACAGCGCAGAGAUCUGACAACCAGACAAAUAUUUCAACAUGGGCUACGCUGCGGAUGUGUCAACAAGAACAAGAAGACAUGAAGAGUUCGUCUUGCCACAGGUUAGAAAUAGAAAGCUUUCUUAGAGAACGAGAAUAAGUAAAAAGUUUACUACAAAACCUUACACCAAGAGCAAUAUAUUCUGUUGCUAUGCUCUUCUCAAGAGAGAGAUGAUCCAUGUACAGUUGUUUUUGGAAGCUUUCAGAAGCAUAUCAAGCUGCCUUUGUGCUUGUGUCAGGCUUGAGGACACAUCACAUUCGGAAAAUCAGGUGCCUGCGCCCUGUGCUUGGGCGUUACCUUGAUUUUUGAAAGAUUUGUUGUUUUAAACCCUUCUUGAGUUGUCAGUUUUCCUUUAAGCUUCCUGUAAAUGUGCUGUUUAUCAAAAAAUGUACCUGUCCUACCUUUAGUCUGCAAAUUAAUCAACUACUCUUUUAUAUAAUCACAAAGAAAGUGUGGUCUAUCUGGGUGAAUCGUAAAUAUUUAUUUAAUGGUGUAAUAAAAUGAAUAAGCAAGCUUAUUGCCCUCAAUUUUAACGCACAGAAAUUUCUGCAAGAAUAUUGCAAGUUCUGCUUGUCUUUGUAGGUUUGUGUAUAAGACACCAAAACAGACGUGGAGUUUAAUCAACUGAAUCACAACUAGUCAUUUCAAUGAUAGAAAAUCAGCCAAGCUGGUUAUGUGGUAAUCGUAAAAGCCCCUCAAAAAUAUCUCUAGUUAUGUGCCUGGAUUUUUCUCCUUUCAAUUUUAUGUCCAUGUCAUGUAGAUGCAGCGUGAGUAUAAUAAAACUUUUUAAUUACUCUUUUAGCCUGAUAAAAAUGAGAUUACAGAUUUUCCAAAGUAUGUGUUUACUUUUCCAAGGCGUAAAUGAAUUAACGUUUGUUUGCCUUUGGCCUAAUAAACAUUUCAUUCAAAGAUAUUUUAUGGGAUAUUUUGUUCAUUUCUUUGACUAUAUCCUAUAAGGCAGAUAUCCCCAAGACCCAUACAGUUGAUUGCAUUUUUGUAACUUUGCUUUUUCAGUUUCAUCACCACGCUAGAGUCAGGCCUUACAUGAACGCUACCCUGUUGCAAGUCCCCCAAAGUGGCACAAUCAGAAAAACACAGAGUUGCUGAUGGGCGUUAAUCUCUCCAGUGACCUGUGGACUCCAGGUAAAACUUCAUGACAUGAUGGUCAUGGCUGUGAAUCCAGCAAGAGCCUGCAAAGCCACUCAUUCAAAAAUCAAAAUGUGACCAUUUCUUUUCUAAUGAACAGCCUGGUAAGUCCUGUACCGAAAAUCUCUGGUCACACUCCCCUCUCACUCCCUGAAUGUGAUUUAGAAAAUGGAAAGGAAGUCUUUUCAUUAACUGGUUUCAGGGGCGAGAUUUCCAUUCCAGGAUCCUGAGUACGAUUUUCUACAAAAAGAAACCAGAUCAUCUGUCUCUCGGUACGGAGCUGGUCCUUUGUGGUCUCUGAUUUCCUCCAGCACAAUUCCUAUUCCAACUCUU